This is a long non-coding RNA of Chelonus insularis, 929 nucleotides long. RefSeq lists it as uncharacterized. Lineage: Eukaryota; Metazoa; Arthropoda; Insecta; Hymenoptera; Braconidae. The transcript has 3 exons. The record is from RefSeq and is a predicted model, not a curated record.
GUAUUUAUUUUGCAUCUUGAAAUUUUAAGAGCACUACAAUUAUUCUAACUGAUUUCUAGAAAAAUUUGUAUAAAAACAUAUGAAUGCAUAGAGAAUAAUUGGAAAAUGGAGACAAAUGAUUGAUAUAAACGAAAAACAAAAAAACAUAUACAGAGAGUUAAUUUCCAAAGUUAUGUAUCAAUAGGAAAAUGUGUAUACAAUGAUGUAUCAAUAUCUACUUUCUAUUAUUCACCAGACUUUUUCAUUAUAUACGAACGAAAAAUCGAUUUGCAACUUCGAGUAUUUGAUGUGCUCUCCAACUGGCAAGGGAAUUGCGUUCAUUGUAUUUGAAUAUACUAUCAUGAAAUAGCGUGCAUGUUUUGCCUUCAGUGAAUUGAAAGGAAUAUAAAGGUUGAGUUGCAUAUCAAAAAAUUCCUGAUUACAUAAGAGCAAAAUAAAAGCUUGAUGUUUCAAAUAAUAACCGAUCUUUCAAGUACUUCUCCUGAGACUCUCAACAAGGUGAAAAGCUAAAGGUUUAAUUUAGAGAGAAGAAAAAGCAGGCGCAAGAGUUCUGAUUAAAUGAUUAAAUAUGCCCUGGAGAUAUAGUAUUAAAUUCUUCGUUAUUCAUUCACAAAGCCCAUUGUUCACUUCACGACUCUUCAAGUAACUUUUUGCUCUAUCAUUAAUUUUUCUUCUGUUGACCUAUUUCUAUAAUCUCCUUCUUCUAAGUAAUUCGAGCACUUUAUUAUACUGAAAUUGACAUCUAUCACUUGAGUCAUAUUCCUUUUUAAUUCGUUUCAAUAACACAAAAAUAUAAUAAAUCGCUUUAAAUUAUAUUUAACUUUCAUCACAGCUAAAUUUUCUAACCAAAAUUUCUAUUAUUCUUUGCUGCAGUAAUUACUCCGCGACCCUUUCUUCACAAAAACAUUCAUCCAAGUUCACUCGAAAUA